AUUUAUCUGACAACAUGCAUUCCUUCCAAGUUUUCCUUACACUUAUCAUGUACUUAUCCUUACAAUAAGCCAGCAAGUAAUUGGCUAUUUUGCCAGAAUCACGCAAACCUUGAUGGCUUGUGAUCUGAAUCUGUUGGAGGUUUUCUGUGUGUGUCAACAUUAGUGACUUCAGGGUGCUCACCCUAGCAUGAUGGCUCCUAAUGGAGUUUUCCUGAAACCUGUCCAUAACCUAUGGCCAGGAGGUCCUUGAAAGACCAUGUGAUUGUGGCUAAGGUGUUUUCAGUUCCCAGCCUGACUGAACCAGAAAUGAAAGAUCAGGAGAUUGGGUCAAAAGUGGCCUAAAGUCAUUAAAAGAAGUUUAUACAAACUCAUCCCUAUUGAAUGGGUACCAAGGGAGAAUUAUCAAUGGGAAUCAAGUUUAUCACUAAAGUUGAAUCCAAAAUCUUUAAAAUGAUUUGAAGUACAUUGUGGUAGUUCAUUUUAUGUGUCAACCUGUUUGGGCUACUCUGCCCAAAUAUUUGAUCACACAUUAUUCUACAUGUUUCAGUGAAAGUGGUUAUUUUUGGGGGGUUGGGUGAGAUUGACAUUUAAACAGGUGGGCUUUGAGAAAAGCAGUAUCCUUCAUAAUGGGAGUGGACCUGACCUCCCUCAUUAAGUGAAGGACUUGAAAGUCUAAAAGAAUAAGACUUACACCCCACCCCCUUCAGCAGGAAGGAAUUCUGCUAGCAGGUGGUCAAUUCUAACUGCAGCUCUUCCCAAGUCUCCAGCAGGCUCAUCUCCCCCAUCAGAUUGUGAAUGUGAACUGACCAAGCCUCCACCAUCUGGGCCAUAAUCAGUUCAAGGUCCUUCUGUACUUCAACAUAGAUACCGCUGUCGGGAAGCUGAAAAGAAAACAUGUUCAACAAGCACAAAAUGGAGUCAGAUUGCAGAAUCACAUCAGUUACGCAUCAGUUAUACUUCCUCAAGUCAAGGUUUAAACACACACCCAGUACUCCUGAAGGACAAAUUGGCAGAAAAAAUGGCACCAUAGCUUUUGCCACGAUGGGAGGCAACGUCACCAGCUAUGGCAGUAUAAGAAGAAGGCACCCUUAACUUUAAACAUCAGCAGCUUGGCAUCAGCAUCACCAGCAGGAGGGGUAUAGACUGGGAGAGGUGCCCAUGAGAGCUACGGAGGGGUUCUCUUUGGUGGGCACCAGCUGUGCUCUUCCCUUGGGACAGAUCCACCAUUUUAGGCUGAGAGAGCAACAAGAAACAUCAUUUUCGGACACAUGGCUGCAGGUAACAGAAACUUCGCCUGAGCUAACUUACACAGAGAGUUUAUUGAAAGGAGAUUAAGAAAUCUCAUGGACUUCCAGGGCAGGGACACAGCUGGCUGGGCAUGAGAACUGAAGCUGGGUGUGUAGUAUUUGGUGGAUCCAGAAGUCCUCAUUCCUCUUUGCUCAUCUCUGGGAGUCUACUCCCCUCCUCCUGCUCUUGGUCUCUGUGUGGAGUUCUCCAUUUUCCCAGCCUCCAAGCCAGAAAAUGUUUGCUUGACAGCUCCCAGGUUUGCAUGCUUCACCUAGACACUCAGACAGGCUGCUCCCUCUUUCUCACUCCUUGGCUCUAUUCCAGUUCUGAAAGUUCUUCAGAUGAUACUGUGUGGAUUGCUUUGGGCUUGCUGCCAGCCCCAUCAAUUGCUGGGGAAUAGGAUGUUCUUUUGGGAAUACUGAAGCCCACUGCAGUCAUAUAGAGAAAAACAGGAAGGUCCCUCCUACACAAGGUGCUCUGGUUGGAAAAUCAGUAAGUACACCCCAACAGCACCCUGCCAAGAAGCUGAUACUGGAAAGAAAGCUGGUGACCCAUGUGCAGUAACCUAGAGAUUGAAUUUACAGAUCAUAAUGUGACAUCUGCUAGCAACGCCCAAAACUACAUGAAAGGAGUUUGAAGCAUUCUAAAGCUGCUAUGAGACUUACAUUCUAAGAGCCUGCGAAAUAUGAAUGUGGACUGAUCCACCUACUUAAUUCUUAUGCACUCAUCAGUGUGCCCAGGAAAUACGUGUCAUAGCAAGAAGCAUCUGUCAGAUUCCACCCACUAUCCUUAACACCAAUUAGAAGCAACUCCUUUCACCCCUCACCUUGAGAGCCUGUGGUAGAGUAGGGUAUAGCAACUGACUACCGCAGUCAGCACACAAUCAGCACACUUUCCUCUAACAUUGGGCUCUUCAGACCAUCUGGUCACAUUUAGGGAACACUUGAGAGGCAGCAUAUCUGGUGCCCCAUAUAUUCAUCAUUAUUUUUUGAAAAAAAAAUAUUAUGAAGUGAUUUUAGAGUUAUAGAAAAAAUGCAACAGAGAGUUCCCAUUUACCCCUCAGCCCAAUUUAACCUCUUAAAUGGCUACAAUAAAACUAUCAAAAUCAGGAAAUUAACACUGGGACAACACUAUCAAUUCAACUACGGACUGUGUCUCAAUUUCAAUGGAUUUUCCACCAAUAACAUUUUUCUCUUCAGAAUCCUGUUCAGGAUUCCACAUUGCAUUUAGUUUUUUCUCCUUAAACUCCAAUCUGUAAAAGCCUCUGCCCUCCUCCUCCAAUUUUGUUUUGGCAAGCUGGCUCUUUUGAAGAGCAGAUAUUUUGCAGACUGAGCCUCAAUUUUGAUUUGUCGGAUCAAACCCAUGAUUUUGCCAAGAAUAUAACUGAGAUGUUGUGCACCGGACAGUGGGGUUCAUGGUGUUCCUAGGUCUUUUGUUGGUGACGUUAACGGGACCUGGUAAAGGCAGUGCCUGUUGGGAUUGUCUUCUACUGUAAAGUCAUUUUUCAGAGAACAUAGUAAUGUUGUGGUCAAUAAAUCGAUUGGGAGUGAUA
Long non-coding RNA from Ictidomys tridecemlineatus (thirteen-lined ground squirrel), 2839 nucleotides. RefSeq lists it as uncharacterized. Lineage: Eukaryota; Metazoa; Chordata; Mammalia; Rodentia; Sciuridae. The record is from RefSeq and is a predicted model, not a curated record.